RNAcentral lists this ribosomal RNA (468 nucleotides) under uncultured bacterium. Its description in RNAcentral is "partial 16S ribosomal RNA". It matches the Rfam family "Bacterial small subunit ribosomal RNA", at positions 28 to 507 of the family's 1533-position model. The record is from RNAcentral.
GACGAACGCUGGCGGCGUGCUUAACACAUGCAAGUCGAACGGAAAGGCCCUGCUUUUGUGGGGUGCUCGAGUGGCGAACGGGUGAGUAACACGUGAGUAACCUGCCCUUGACUUUGGGAUAACUUCAGGAAACUGGGGCUAAUACCGGAUAGGAGCUCCUGCUGCAUGGUGGGGGUUGGAAAGUUUCGGCGGUUGGGGAUGGACUCGCGGCUUAUCAGCUUGUUGGUGGGGUAGUGGCUUACCAAGGCUUUGACGGGUAGCCGGCCUGAGAGGGUGACCGGCCACAUUGGGACUGAGAUACGGCCCAGACGCCUACGGGAGGCAGCAGUGGGGAAUAUUGCACAAUGGGCGGAAGCCUGAUGCAGCAACGCCGCGUGCGGGAUGACGGCUUUCGGGUUGUAAACCGCUUUCGCCUGUGACGAAGCGUGAGUGACGGUAAUGGGUAAAGAAGCACCGGCUAACUACGUG